This 550-nucleotide ribosomal RNA is filed under the name uncultured bacterium. RNAcentral describes it as "bacterial SSU rRNA". It matches the Rfam family "Bacterial small subunit ribosomal RNA", at positions 355 to 896 of the family's 1533-position model. The record is from RNAcentral.
GGGGGAAUUUUGGUCAAUGGGCGCAAGCCUGAACCAGCCACGCCGCGUGAGUGAUGAAGGCCUUCGGGUUGUAAAGCUCUGUGGGGAGGGAAGAAAACGGCGCAUAAGAAACGAUGCGUCCUUGACGGUACCUCCUUAGCAAGCACCGGCUAACUCUGUGCCAGCAGCCGCGGUAAUACAGAGGGUGCGAACGUUGCUCGGAAUUACUGGGCGUAAAGCGCGUGUAGGCGGGACCGUAAGUCAGAUGUGAAAGCCCUGGGCUCAACUCAGGAACUGCAUCUGAAACUGCGGACCUUGAGUACUGGAGAGGGCGGCGGAAUUCCUGGUGUAGAGGUGAAAUUCGUAGAUAUCAGGAGGAACACCGGUGGCGAAGGCGGCCGCCUGGACAGUAACUGACGCUGAGACGCGAAAGCGUGGGGAGCAAACAGGAUUAGAUACCCUGGUAGUCCACGCCGUAAACGAUGGGUGCUAGGUGUCUCGGGUAUUGACCCCUGAGGUGCCGUAGCUAACGCGUUAAGCACCCCGCCUGGGAAGUACGGUCGCAAGACUA